UUACGGCCACAACACGUUGAAACACCUGUUAUCGUACGACUGCUGAAGUUAAGCAGCGUUGAGCCUGGUCAGUACCUCAAUGGGUGAGCGUUUGAGAAUACCAUGU
Acanthosepion pharaonis is the source of this 106-nucleotide non-coding RNA. The record is from the annotation of a GenBank genome assembly. Lineage: Eukaryota; Metazoa; Mollusca; Cephalopoda; Sepiida; Sepiidae.